UGGUAUAGGUUGGGAGGAUGUCUGGUCCACUGCUGCUCAACAAUAACCUCCUCGUAGGGAAGGACAUGAUGAGGAUGAGCAUCAGUUGUGUAGUCUGGAAUGGUCGCAGGGGGUUCACAAUAAGAUGUGAUACUCUAACGAACCAUCUCAUGUACCCCCUAGAAUGAGCCCACAACUCAUUAUCCAGAACCAGAUCACCCCUCUCCUGCUGGCUGAGGACAUGUAGAGCAAACUCCAUGGAGGCCAUAGCCACGUCCCUUGACGCAAGAGGCCCAAUGUCU
RNAcentral lists this long non-coding RNA (281 nucleotides) under Medicago truncatula (barrel medic). RNAcentral describes it as "long non-coding RNA (MTRU_LNC007719)". Lineage: Eukaryota; Viridiplantae; Streptophyta; Magnoliopsida; Fabales; Fabaceae. The record is from RNAcentral.